This 347-nucleotide long non-coding RNA is filed under the name Cyanistes caeruleus (blue tit). RNAcentral's name for it is "lncRNA (ENSCCEG00000014900.1)". The record is from RNAcentral. Lineage: Eukaryota; Metazoa; Chordata; Aves; Passeriformes; Paridae.
CAUGAUUCUCUCUAUUUUUUCCAGUCACCAUGAAAGAAAAAAUUAUUUAGAAAUUCCAACUCUGAGAAUGCUCAGAAAGAUGGCAAGUUUUACAGAUGAAAAGCCAUCAAUGGAUUUCUAAAUUCCACAGAUUUGUCAUGUGCAGAGCUAUUGGAUCAGAUGCUGUGAGCUAAAGUGAGAUCACCUGCUGGCUGACACCUUUAGCCUGGUUUAGAAAUAGAGUACUCCUGUCAACACUGCUCUUAGGUGAAUGUGUAGACUCACUGACAUGAAAACUUCCUAAGUUAUAUUUGCCCAAGCAAACCCCACUGAGGAAUGAUCUGGGCUGUAAGCACCAGCCUAUGGCA